AUACUACUCCCUCCGUCCGGAAAUACUUGUCUUAGACAUGGAUAAAAUGCAUGUAUCUAUAACUAAAAUAAGUCUAACACCAUUUCUAGGACAAGUAUUUCCGGACGGAGGGAGUAUAUA
Non-coding RNA from Triticum aestivum (bread wheat), 120 nucleotides. Lineage: Eukaryota; Viridiplantae; Streptophyta; Magnoliopsida; Poales; Poaceae. The record is from Rfam.